Molecule: long non-coding RNA, 369 nt
Organism: Fukomys damarensis (Damara mole-rat)
Lineage: Eukaryota; Metazoa; Chordata; Mammalia; Rodentia; Bathyergidae
Exons: 3
Source: RefSeq, a predicted model, not a curated record
GUUUGCUAUGCAAUGCAAGCCUAAUUGAUGCAGUCACUACCUGCCCUGAGGAAGGACUUGCAGGAAGGUACCACCACUAUUCAUUGAAGAAAAAGGAAUGUAGCUCAGUGGAACUGCGCCUGCCUGGCAAGUACAAGAAGGGAGGAAGUUAGGUUACGAGGUGCAUCGCAGAAGACUUCCCGCUGCCUGAGGUGAAGAGGCCUCUUCCCCACGCUCCCACGAUGAUGUACUCUGUCGUCCUCCAUGCUUCAGAUCUAGGCCUCCAAAAGCCUCCUGUUUGGAAGGGGAUUGGAUCAGAGUGACACAGUACUGAACAACGGAUCAGUGAACCCAUGAGUUCAUAGCUGAGUGUGCUGUUAGAGGUGGGGC